CACCAGCGUGCCGCCGCCGCUGCCCCAAUCCCCCUCCCACCAGCGCGCCGCCACCACCCUAAACUCCCUCCCAUGGCCCUAUCACACACGCCGCCGGCCGCGCCUCCCUCUCUCACGCCACCUGCGGCUGCCACGCCAUGGCAGGCACUGAGCCGUUGCGGCAGUACAACUGCAUGCUCCGCCGUCGGUCAUGAGUAGAGCUGCGUGCAGGCCACCCGUGCUCUUCCCUGGAUCCGAUUCACUCGAUCCAGGAGGUGCUAGCUCAUACUAGCUGGAACUAGGAUGCAAAAGGGUUGACGGAUCCAUGUCGCACAAGCACUUGUGCUCUGCUUUCUUCUUACUUUGUGUUCUAAUUUCCUUUCCUCUUAUUUUCAGUUUGCGAGAUACAAAAAGAAGUUAAAAAAUGUUGUGCCUGGAGUUCAUAUUAUUUGCUACCCCAUGAUGUACGUCUAUAGUUCCUCCCUCCAAAUGUGUUGGUCCAUGUGGUUGUAUUUAUUGUUUUGGAUCUAUGAAAAAGGUUAUUGAAGCUCAAAUGUGAUAAGCACAUAAGUUCAGAUCUCCGCUGCUACGAAGUUCACGUAUACCUCUGUCUGCUUUAAUCAUGGCAUACAAAUUUUGCACUACGAGAAAGUUCAGAGGCAAGAGCGUAGAAAAUAAAGAACACAAAAAUAUCAACAAAAAAUUCACUAGGAGAAAAGUUCAAGUCAGGAUAUGCAAGAAAAGUUAAUAUUUUAUUGCAGUUCAAUUUCAAAUUCUAGUCAAGUUUCAUUUAUUAUUUUAAUUUAGUCUAGUUUUUAUUUUAGUUUAGUUCAAUAUCUAAUUUUUGUUCAGUUCAAUUCUUAUUUUAGAAACAAAUUGAAUUGUUUCUUUAUCUACAUUCUUCUAUUCAACGUCAGAGAGAAGGUGCCUCAUGGUAAAAGCGUGCCAAGAUUUUCUAAGAACCCCAGACCCAUCCUGGUGCCGCCCGGCCCCCAACCUCCAACCUCCUCGGAUCCUGGCACCACCCCGCCCCUACCUCCUCCCUGGAUCCCGGCGCCGCACGCCCCCAUCUCCCCGGAUCCCCGCAACACCUAGUCCCCAACCUCUCUGGCUCCCGGCGCCGCCAACCGCCAUCAUCUGCCAGCUCCUGUAGCCGCCUCCGCCUAUUUCCUCCUGCGGGUCGAACGGUGCGAAUCUGGCCGACGUGGUGGGGCUGUGAGACUCACUCGGGUGGAGCUCCUCCGCCUCUAGCCGUUGAUCCAUAGUUCAUUGUCAGUACAUGUUCUGAAAGUGCCUAGUACAUGUUGGGGGACAUUUCUGGAAUCACGUAUCCUUGCUAGCUUGCAGCUGUAAUUUUGAUUGCAUAGCAGUACAGUUUAGUUGUCUCUGAAGUUUUGAUUCACAGCAGUACAAUUUAGUCCCAGCUGCCAUGAUUCUGCAAACCAUUGUGCUCUCAAAAGAUGGUGCUUUGUUGCAACAAGUUGUGGAAAAAAUGCAGUGAAAAAAUAAAAUGUGCUCCCACAAGUUCAUAUGAUAUAUUGUUGUUAGUUCAAUUUAUUUUAUAUGCCUCUACACAUGUUUGUUGAAAUGCUGACAAGGAGCUAGACUUGUUUUUUGUUCAUAUUUCUUGUUUCUUAAAACAACUGAUGUACUACUAUCAAAAUGGAAGCCACAAUAAAGAUCUCAUCACUAAAUUGACGAUUCAGCCAUGUUUGCUUGUGUGUACUGCUGAACUGGCAAUGUUACUAAACUUGUGUUCUCACUGAUUCUAAACUGUUGCUGUAGCAUUUGUGAUGCUCGUCUGAUUUUGGUUGGAAGUUUAAUGAAUCCAUACAUAGUUCAACUUUUAGGAAGUUAAAAGUUCAACGAGUGUCUUAGAGAAAACUUGGAAGUUUUGUCUAUAUAAAAAAGAUCACAAAAAUAUAUGUGUUCUGACCUAAGAUGUUCAGGAAAGAGUUCCAGAAUAUCCCCGGUCGCCGCGUCCCCGGGAAGCCAUGCCGACAGCCACCACCACUGUGAGCGACAACCACCACCACUGCGAGCUGCCAGUGCAGCGUCCCACCAGCCCCCAUGUGCCUCCAUCCCUCAAGCUCCCAGAUGCGUCGUCGUGAACCCUUUGUUCCCCAUCGCUGCCUCCUCCAACUCCUUUCAUGGCUCUGGAAAAUCACUUAUCAGGUAUGUUCAGUUCAGACCACACUAAAAUGGCCAAAUUAUAGAUAAAUAUGUGCAUUGUCCUAAAUUAUUCCACUCUCUGGAAACAAAGUCGCAGAAUGGAUGUGAGCGGAGUAUACUUCCAUGGUUUCUCAAGAAAUCAUACAAUAAGUUUACUGUUCACUAUGUAUUUUAUCAUCAGUUAAAAAAUAAUCAUAGAAAAAGUUCAAUUUGUGUUAUUGAAACAGCUCAAUUUAUCGGUAUUGUGGAGAUCAUGCAUGACUAGUAUUUAUGUUCUCAAGAUAUGAGAGAGUGGGAUGUUUGCAUGAUUGUGGCUGGUUGGAGUGUAUGGUCUUGUACCUAUAUUACAACAAUUUGCUAAUAAAAAAUGUAUCAGUUCAUUGUGUAGCACAUGGUUAACACAUAUAAUUACAAAACAGUUACUUGAACUAUACAAGAGUUCAACUUUUACUUGAUUUUCAGUUCAAAUUUUGCGUUAUUUUCAAUACAUCAACUUUAAUGUGCAGAACAUCGAGGAAAUCCUAAAAAAAUAUAUGUGCACUCUAUGUAUUUUCUUAUGCUUACAAGAAUUUUGCACUCAUACUGUUAUGCAUCAGUUCAGGUCACCCGUGGAGUUUUAGAUAUAUGCAAAAUCGUAUUAGAGCACCAUGCUCUCACCCAAAGGUUUGAAAAACCAUUGCUUUCAGUUCUGGUAACAUAUGUUUUUGUUUCAGUUUUGCUAAUUCUUUCUCCUAUGGGUUGUUAUAUAUUAUCUUUCACUUGUCUUACUAUAUGAAAAAAAUAUGUGGCCUUUAGCGAGCAAUCUUGCGUAGUUUUCUGGUUAAAAAACAGACAACAUGGAUUUACCAUGUUCUAUUAAAAGAAAGCUGGAGUUCAAAUUCUAAUUUUAGUUCAGUGAAGAUCAAUGGGAAAAUGCACAAGAAGUUCAGACUCUUCUUUCCUAAAGUGUUUGUUUUGGUAUGUCUAGCCCAAACAAUCAUCAAUUUUUUUUAAAAAAAAUCUCUGUUGUCAAAUAAAAGUUAUAGUAAUUAUUAUGGACAUGUUCAUUACAAACUUAUGUAAUGGUGCAGUACACCUAUUUAAUUUUUUUAUAUAUUUACAAAACAGAAAUUAUAAUUCUCAGAAACCUACAAAAAAAGCAUCAAUUUAUAUUGAUAGUUGUUCUAGUCCUUAUGUUACAACAGUGCAAUGAAAAAAUCUCAUCAGUUCAACAACAUGGACAUGCUAAUGCUGUAGCGAGUCCAUGCUAAUGUUGUAGUGAUCUCGUGCGCGGCCACAAGGAUGUCGGCUGCAAUGAUGCCAAAGUGACGAGCUAUCUACAUUCUGCCUAGCUGUUGUCCAUCUAUAUCUACGUCCGUGGUGCGUCGCCAGCGGCAUCGUCCCUGACCAGGGCACCAUGCUGAGGCACUUGCUACUACUAAUGCACACUGCAUUUGACGCAUAAAGAUGGAAAAUGCAGGAAGCCGCAUGUUUAUGUGGAGCUAAUGCACACCAUUUUUUUGCUGAAAAAUACCAUGGUUAAAAUGAAGGUAAGCUUGUGCAUGUAUUUGUCUGAGGUGGUUAGUUCUGGAAAGGGAUAUUCGCACAAGUAUAUUUAAAGAUAUGAUUUAUUAAAAAGUUGUAGCUCUUUUCUUGGUUUAUGGUCAGCUCAUGCAUCGAGUUUCCAUCCAAUCCAUGGCAUGACCUCUACCUGCACGUACUUGCUGCCAAAAUGUUGUGUUGUUAAACUUGUUAUGAAGCCACUGUAAUUCUUCAGCUGCGACCUACGGGAGUUUCUUCAUCUGCCCUUCAACAAAAAGAACAGCAGUAGUCAAUGCAUCUGCCGUAUCUCUUUCCUCUCUACUGCUCUUUUCUCUUACUAAUUUGUUUCUCUCUGAACUGCGGCACAGGGGAGGUUGGACUACAGACAGCCCCCGCCGCCCCAUGCAUUACUUCCUCCGGUCCCUGUCUAGGAGGUUCAAAGAUUGUCGUGGAGCAAGUUCAAGAGAUUAGUUUCGUGAAAAUAAUGUGAUCUUUUGGUCAGGAUUUUGCAUGAUCCAUAGCCAUCAAUGGCAACAGGCGAGUAGUUCAAGGUCUCCUGCAUGAACUUGUUGUCUCAACACAUCUAUCAUCGGAGUAUCUGCAUCCCCUUGCCGCACACACAUGCCCGGCGGUCGAGAUAGUGUUGUUUGUGAUUACUGGCCGUGACUCUUACAUUGUCAUUGGACAAAGAAUUUAUUCUGUAACUCUGUAUUGGUAGGAUCUUCAGUAAAUAUAUGUUCUUAGUAUUCUAAUAUGUAGGACAAAAUGGUGAAAAUUUAAACAUCAGACUGAAUUAAUACAACUGAGAAGUUCUACUAUCAGUAAACGGGUGGACCUAGGUGCAACA
Molecule: long non-coding RNA, 4519 nt
Organism: Triticum aestivum (bread wheat)
Lineage: Eukaryota; Viridiplantae; Streptophyta; Magnoliopsida; Poales; Poaceae
Exons: 3
Source: RefSeq, a predicted model, not a curated record